RNAcentral lists this ribosomal RNA (486 nucleotides) under uncultured bacterium. RNAcentral's name for it is "bacterial SSU rRNA". It matches the Rfam family "Bacterial small subunit ribosomal RNA", at positions 28 to 511 of the family's 1533-position model. The record is from RNAcentral.
GAUGAACGCUAGCGGCAGGCUUAGCACAUGCAAGUCGAGGGGUAGAAGCAGCUUGCUGCUUUGAGACCGGCGCACGGGUGCGUAACGCGUAUACAAUCUACCUUUUACAGAGGGAUAGCCCAGAGAAAUUUGGAUUAAUACCUCAUAGUAUUUUCGAAUCGCAUGAUUUGAUUAUUAAAGUUCCAACGGUAAAAGAUGAGUAUGCGUCCCAUUAGCUAGAUGGUAAGGUAACGGCUUACCAUGGCAACGAUGGGUAGGGGUCCUGAGAGGGAGAUCCCCCACACUGGUACUGAGACACGGACCAGACUCCUACGGGAGGCAGCAGUGAGGAAUAUUGGACAAUGGGCGCAAGCCUGAUCCAGCCAUGCCGCGUGCAGGAAGACGGUCCUAUGGAUUGUAAAACUGCUUUUAUACAGGAAGAAACACCUCUACGUGUAGAGACUUGACGGUACUGUAUGAAUAAGCAUCGGCUAAACUCCGUGCCAG